Molecule: non-coding RNA, 709 nt
Organism: Pelobates cultripes (western spadefoot toad)
Lineage: Eukaryota; Metazoa; Chordata; Amphibia; Anura; Pelobatidae
Source: the annotation of a GenBank genome assembly
AGAUUAUGUAACUGAACUCGCAAAUGCUUUGAACAAAAUCCAUGCCCAAGUUUUCUCUUCAAUUCCAGAUCCUGAUUCUGACACAGGCAACCACAGUCUGCUCCCCGGUGACUGGGUUCUGGUCAAGAAAUUUGUGCAAAAACACACCCUGGAACCAAGAUUUGACGGACCGUUCCAAGUUCUCCUGAUCUCCCCUACCUCUGUCAAAUUGGCCGGAAGGCCUAACUGGAUCCACGCUUCCCAUUGCAAGAAGACACCUGCCCCAGAGGAAGCUAAUUCUAUGCAACCAUGUGCCUCUGGUACAUUAUCUCCUUAGUUGGCCUCCUUAAAGCCCAGCAGGUGGCCAUCACCAAAGAUGCUAGUGGGUACACUUUCUGGUAUAAUUCAUCAUGUACCCAUGUGACUACAUUCACUUUUGAUUACUGUGAUAUUGUAGAAUGCCCAUUCCCUAAGUCACAGAUUCAAGCCAUUUAUAAAGAUAUACCACAAGCAAAAGACCCUUACGUUUGUGUAGUAGAUGAACAAUGGGGUUAUGACUGUAACUACUGGGGGGGCUGCGGGAUGGAAUACUGGGCCUGCCUGGGGUUAUAAACCCAAAAGUUCUUUAUCUAAGAUAGACAAUCAGGGUAGAUCCCUCCUUCAAAGAAUGACUUUAAGAAAGCCUGGAGGAAGUACCCCUAUGAAAUUAAUGUUAAAUAUUGAACAUCCU